RNAcentral lists this transfer RNA (66 nucleotides) under Takydromus intermedius. Its description in RNAcentral is "tRNA-Ser". Lineage: Eukaryota; Metazoa; Chordata; Lepidosauria; Squamata; Lacertidae. The record is from RNAcentral.
AAGAGGUGUAUGAACGACUAGAACUGCUAAUUCAAGUGACUAAGAAUAAAAUUCUCAGGCCUCUUA